Molecule: long non-coding RNA, 674 nt
Organism: Dermochelys coriacea (leatherback sea turtle)
Lineage: Eukaryota; Metazoa; Chordata; Testudines; Dermochelyidae
Exons: 3
Source: RefSeq, a predicted model, not a curated record
UACCCACCCUGGCCUCAGCUCAGCUACUUUGUUUACCUGGGUUCAGGGACCACUUUUGAAGCCCUUAGCGUGUGGGUGGAGGUGGGAGCAGAGGCUGAAGCUCUAGCAGUUUCCACCAAAGAGCACCACCCUAUCUUUCUAUGGUCUGGCUAGGGCUCACCAUCCAUCUUGGAGCUGAACACCAGAUGGGAGCUGAUAGAUUGUCCUUGACGGGCAAUGUUCUUGUGUGUGAUGGAGCUGUGUGUCAGAGAGGGCCAGGAGCAGAUGCACCACGCCUGGCCAGGACCGGGCUAAACAGCCUGUAAUGUUAGCCAGUCGAUCGCCCAGUGUCAUCACCCUGCCUGCUGGCUGGGCAGGGUAACUCCUCAGGUCACCACCCUCUCCAGCUCGCCUUGGGCUUGGAGAGUGAGGAGAAGGGCAAGGGACGACACUGAAUAUCCUCCAUCCAUCGCUCCAUCACCAAGAGCAAGAUGGCCAGGCUCCUGAGGAUGUUCAGGAAGAAGGCUCUGCAGGUGUCCCCAGAGCCUGAGGGAAGCAGCUGCCAUCUUCCCCAGGAGCAGAGCAGCCCCUCUGUCCCCGCUGGCGGGGAAGGAGCUCCGGGCCGGGCCAGGAGGUGGAAGUGCCCAGUCUUCUGGCAGAGGAAACCUGCUCCUGGUGCAGGUGCCAAGGUGGGA